Molecule: ribosomal RNA, 508 nt
Filed under: Priestia paraflexa
Lineage: Bacteria; Bacillati; Bacillota; Bacilli; Caryophanales; Bacillaceae
Description: bacterial SSU rRNA
Rfam family: Bacterial small subunit ribosomal RNA
Source: RNAcentral
ACGGGGGCGGGGUGCUAUACAUGCAAGUCGAGCGAACUGAUUAGAAGCUUGCUUCUAUGACGUUAGCGGCGGACGGGUGAGUAACACGUGGGCAACCUGCCUGUAAGACUGGGAUAACUCCGGGAAACCGGAGCUAAUACCGGAUAACAUUUUCUCUUGCAUAAGAGAAAAUUGAAAGAUGGUUUCGGCUAUCACUUACAGAUGGGCCCGCGGUGCAUUAGCUAGUUGGUGAGGUAACGGCUCACCAAGGCAACGAUGCAUAGCCGACCUGAGAGGGUGAUCGGCCACACUGGGACUGAGACACGGCCCAGACUCCUACGGGAGGCAGCAGUAGGGAAUCUUCCGCAAUGGACGAAAGUCUGACGGAGCAACGCCGCGUGAGUGAUGAAGGCUUUCGGGUCGUAAAACUCUGUUGUUAGGGAAGAACAAGUACAAGAGUAACUGCUUGUACCUUGACGGUACCUAACCAGAAAGCCACGGCUAACUACGUGCCAGCAGCCGCGGUAAU